Molecule: ribosomal RNA, 164 nt
Filed under: uncultured bacterium
Lineage: Bacteria
Description: partial 16S ribosomal RNA
Rfam family: Bacterial small subunit ribosomal RNA
Source: RNAcentral
UAGGGAAUCUUCCACAAUGGACGAAAGUCUGAUGGAGCAACGCUGCGUGAGUGAAGAAGGGUUUCGGCUCGUAAAACUCUGUUGUUAAAGAAGAACAUAUCUGAGAGUAACUGUUCAGGUAUUGACGGUAUUUAACCAGAAAGCCACGGCUAACUACGUGCCAA